RNAcentral lists this ribosomal RNA (424 nucleotides) under uncultured bacterium. RNAcentral describes it as "bacterial SSU rRNA". It matches the Rfam family "Bacterial small subunit ribosomal RNA", at positions 356 to 777 of the family's 1533-position model. The record is from RNAcentral.
GAGGAAUAUUGGUCAAUGGACGAGAGUCUGAACCAGCCAAGUCGCGUGAAGGAUGACUGCCCUACGGGUUGUAAACUUCUUUUGUAUGGGAGUAAAAAAGUGGACGUGUCCAUUAUUGCAAGUACCAUACGAAUAAGCAUCGGCUAACUCCGUGCCAGCAGCCGCGGUAAUACGGAGGAUGCGAGCGUUAUCCGGAUUUAUUGGGUUUAAAGGGUGCGUAGGCGGGAUGAUAAGUCAGCGGUGAAAGUUUGAGGCUCAACCUUAAAAUUGCCGUUGAAACUGUCUUUCUUGAGUAUAUUUGAAGUAGGCGGAAUUCGUGGUGUAGCGGUGAAAUGCAUAGAUAUCACGAAGAACUCCAAUUGCGAAGGCAGCUUACUAAACUAUAACUGACGCUGAAGCACGAAAGCGUGGGUAUCAAGCAGGA